CAAUUCAUUUUUCAUCCAAAAAUCAUGAUUCUUUUUCCAUGAUGUUCACAAUUGAGUCUAGUAUUUAAAUGUGAAUUUUAAUUAUUUUUCCAUUGGUUGGUUUUUAAUUGACAAUUAUUUUCUCCACAUGUGUGCAUGAAUGAUACCCUUGGCCAUUUCAAUUGUGAAAUACUCAUGUUAUAUCCAAUGCCUUUGAGAUUUUUUGUGGUGAAAAUAGACUCCUUGACC
RNAcentral lists this long non-coding RNA (228 nucleotides) under Lathyrus oleraceus (garden pea). RNAcentral describes it as "Pisum sativum (pea) long non-coding RNA (PSAT_LNC036133)". Lineage: Eukaryota; Viridiplantae; Streptophyta; Magnoliopsida; Fabales; Fabaceae. The record is from RNAcentral.